Molecule: ribosomal RNA, 468 nt
Filed under: uncultured bacterium
Lineage: Bacteria
Description: partial 16S ribosomal RNA
Rfam family: Bacterial small subunit ribosomal RNA
Source: RNAcentral
GAUGAACGCUGGCGGCGUGCUUAACACAUGCAAGUCGAACGGUGAAGGCGGAGCUUGCUCUGCUGGAUCAGUGGCGAACGGGUGAGUAACACGUGAGCAAUCUGCCCCUGACUCUGGGAUAAGCGCUGGAAACGGCGUCUAAUACUGGAUACGAGCUGCGAAGGCAUCUUCAGCAGCUGGAAAGAAUUUCGGUCAGGGAUGAGCUCGCGGCCUAUCAGCUUGUUGGUGAGGUAAUGGCUCACCAAGGCGUCGACGGGUAGCCGGCCUGAGAGGGUGACCGGCCACACUGGGACUGAGACACGGCCCAGACUCCUACGGGAGGCAGCAGUGGGGAAUAUGGCACAAUGGGCGAAAGCCUGAUGCAGCAACGCCGCGUGAGGGACGACGGCCUUCGGGUUGUAAACCUCUUUUAGCAGGGAAGAAGCGAAAGUGACGGUACCUGCAGAAAAAGCGCCGGCUAACUACGUG